UACGUAGGGGGCUAGCGUUGUCCGGAAUCAUUGGGCGUAAAGAGCGUGUAGGCGGCUCGGUAAGUCCGCUGUGAAAGUCCAGGGCUCAACCCUGGAAUGCCAGUGGAAACUGUCGAGCUAGAGUCCGGAAGGGGCGAGUGGAAUUCCUGGUGUAGCGGUGAAAUGCGCAGAUAUCAGGAGGAACACCAAUGGCGAAGGCAGCUCGCUGGGACGGUACUGACGCUGAGACGCGAAAGCGUGGGGAGCAAACAGG
This 253-nucleotide ribosomal RNA is filed under the name uncultured bacterium. RNAcentral's name for it is "partial 16S ribosomal RNA". It matches the Rfam family "Bacterial small subunit ribosomal RNA", at positions 524 to 776 of the family's 1533-position model. The record is from RNAcentral.